ACGACCUUACUUGAACAGGAUCUGUUCUAUAGGCUCGUACCGUUGCAUCUAUGACUAAUAAGGAGGCAAGCACAAAAGCUUGGUUGAUGGACGCAUGACCUGUGUGGGCCCAGAGCGUGAUUAACGGCCAGAUCAUGUCACACUGGCUGAUUCGAUCCCACGGCUGUAGAGGAUCGUACCUUCCCGGGCCUCGCCUGGCCAGGAUGGCUCUCAGGUUGUCUGACAGGCU
Molecule: small nucleolar RNA, 229 nt
Filed under: Oryza meridionalis
Lineage: Eukaryota; Viridiplantae; Streptophyta; Magnoliopsida; Poales; Poaceae
Description: snoRNA Plant_U3
Rfam family: Plant small nucleolar RNA U3
About the family: Small nucleolar RNAs (snoRNAs) are involved in the processing and modification of rRNA in the nucleolus. There are two main classes of snoRNAs: the box C/D class, and the box H/ACA class.
Source: Rfam by way of RNAcentral